Molecule: long non-coding RNA, 469 nt
Organism: Eubalaena glacialis (North Atlantic right whale)
Lineage: Eukaryota; Metazoa; Chordata; Mammalia; Artiodactyla; Balaenidae
Exons: 5
Source: RefSeq, a predicted model, not a curated record
GCCAUCUUGUCGGCUCCUUGGAGGACCUGAGCUAGCACAAGAAAACAGGAGGGCCCAGAAGACACACUAUUAACCAGGACCACAAGGAAUGUGCUGGUGAGAGAAAAACCAGCACCACCAAGAAGUUCAAUGGUCGCUCUCAUCUGCAAGCUAGGGCUGACAGAAGAGGUUUCUCCUGAGGAAGAAACAUCCACAAGAACCACGGAGAACCUGCUACCUGAACUCCUAUGGAGAAGUAGGUUCAUUCGUAUGUUACCAAAAUGAACUUAGUCUUGGCUAAUAAAUGCAGUGUGGCCCACAUAAAAGAAGAUAUAAAGUUGGGAACCAGUACCACCAACUCUGAAGCCCUUGGAAUUUUCUGGGAGUCCUCUUCAUCCUUCUCACACAAGCCUCCCUCUGCCUCCUCAUCCUCUGCUAGGCUCUUUCUUCGGUCUCAAGUCUGGCAACUACAAGGCUUGUAGUUCUGUGA